UUCGUAGGUGGCAAGCGUUGUCCGGAUUUAUUGGGCGUAAAGCGAGCGCAGGCGGUUCCUUAAGUCUGAUGUGAAAGCCCCCGGCUCAACCGGGGAAGGUCAUUGGAAACUGGGGAACUUGAGUGCAGAAGAGGAGAGUGGAAUUCCAUGUGUAGCGGUGAAAUGCGUAGAUAUAUGGAGGAACACCAGCGGCGAAGGCGACUCUCUGGUCUGUAACUGACACUGAGGCACGAAAGCGUGGGUAGCAAACAGG
This 253-nucleotide ribosomal RNA is filed under the name uncultured bacterium. RNAcentral's name for it is "partial 16S ribosomal RNA". It matches the Rfam family "Bacterial small subunit ribosomal RNA", at positions 524 to 776 of the family's 1533-position model. The record is from RNAcentral.